Molecule: long non-coding RNA, 719 nt
Organism: Patella vulgata (common limpet)
Lineage: Eukaryota; Metazoa; Mollusca; Gastropoda; Patellidae
Exons: 4
Source: RefSeq, a predicted model, not a curated record
UGAGGCAAGGUAUAUUUAAUGUGAUAUAUAAUGGAGUUGUGUUGUGCAUGAGGCAGCGUAGAUUUACUGUGAUGUAACAUGUAUAAUUGAACGUGGUUGUGCAUGAGGCAGGGAUUUGUUAUAGCUAACUACUUGUUAUUGUAUUUUUAGGGAACAAUACAAUAUGAAGUUAUUGGAGAUGGUGUGGCACCUGCUUUCUUCCGAUUGGAUCAGACUUCAGGAAUCAUCACUAUGUAUGAUAUCAAUGCACUUCUGUUUGAUAGAUAUUCAUCAUAUAAUCUCAAUGUGGUUGCAUAUGACUCAGUUUACCCAAAUGCUCGGGCAACAGCUACUGUAACCCUCAGUGUAAACAGAAAUCCUUCAGGACCAACGUUCAAUCCACGAAAUUAUGCCAAGACAAUUCCAGAAUCUUAUGAACUCGGAAGAGAAGUUCUUAGUGUGUUUGCAACUGAUCAAGAUGGGGAUGUGUUAUUUUAUGAAAUACUUGGUGAUAAUCGAGCUCUUGAGUACUAUUUCAUCAAUAGUAGAACUGGAGUUAUCUCCCUCAAGAAAGUAUUGACAACUGGCACACAAAGAACAGACAGGAUUACCAUUCGAGUGCGUGAUCAAAAUGUACCAGAAUUGAGUGAUACAGUAUUUGCUGAUAUUAUUAUUACUCGCGAUUCAGCUCCUCCAGAAUUUAUCAAUGCACCAUACACUGCUAAUAUUUUUGAAAGAAC